GCGAUGUCCGAAUGGGGAAACCCAGUGCAAUCCGUUGCACUAUCGUUAACUGAAUACAUAGGUUAACGAGGCGAACCGGGGGAACUGAAACAUCUAAGUACCCCGAGGAAAAGAAAUCAACCGAGAUUCCCCCAGUAGCGGCGAGCGAACGGGGAGCAGCCCAGAGUCUGAAUCAGCUUGUGUGUUAGUGGAAGCGUCUGGAAAGUCGCACGGUACAGGGUGAAAGUCCCGUACACGAAAAUGCACAGGCUGUGAACUCGAAGAGUAGGGCGGGACACGUGGUAUCCUGUCUGAAUAUGGGGGGACCAUCCUCCAAGGCUAAAUACUCCUGACUGACCGAUAGUGAACCAGUACCGUGAGGGAAAGGCGAAAAGAACCCCGGCGAGGGGAGUGAAAAAGAACCUGAAACCGUGUACGUACAAGCAGUGGGAGCACCUUCGGGUGUGACUGCGUACCUUUUGUAUAAUGGGUCAGCGACUUAUAUUCUGUAGCAAGGUUAACCGUAUAGGGGAGCCGAAGGGAAACCGAGUCUUAACUGGGCGUUAAGUUGCAGGGUAUAGACCCGAAACCCGGUGAUCUAGCCAUGGGCAGGUUGAAGGUUGGGUAACACUAACUGGAGGACCGAACCGACUAAUGUUGAAAAAUUAGCGGAUGACCUGUGGCUGGGGGUGAAAGGCCAAUCAAACCGGGAGAUAGCUGGUUCUCCCCGAAAGCU
Molecule: ribosomal RNA, 715 nt
Filed under: Enterobacter cloacae
Lineage: Bacteria; Pseudomonadati; Pseudomonadota; Gammaproteobacteria; Enterobacterales; Enterobacteriaceae
Description: partial 23S ribosomal RNA
Rfam family: Bacterial large subunit ribosomal RNA
Source: RNAcentral